This 1005-nucleotide long non-coding RNA is filed under the name Phasianus colchicus (ring-necked pheasant). RNAcentral describes it as "lncRNA (ENSPCLG00000003662.1)". The record is from RNAcentral. Lineage: Eukaryota; Metazoa; Chordata; Aves; Galliformes; Phasianidae.
GGGACGUCCAAUGGGAGCGCGGCUCGGCCCCCGCGCCGGAGCGGCCCCUUCGGCCCAAUGAGUCUUCUGAGGACACUGCCGCGAAGUGCCGGGGAGGGUUGGAGGGAGCCUCGCGGGGGCGGGCGCUGCGGCUCGGCCUGUCUCCUCGACCAAUCGGCGCCGAGAGCCGCUUUUACGGACGGCCCGGCGUCGUCCAAUCGGUGCCUCAUUCCGUUAGGAGCUGCUUCCACCAAUCCGUCAGACACAAGCAGGAGAACCCGCUGCCGAGUUCAUCCUUUCUGCACCUGCUCGUUCAAAACUUGACCUGUUGAAGGAAGAGAUGCCAGGCUGCCGUGCGGGAUGUGCUCCUUUUCUAGGAACAUGGUAAACAAAUGAGUUUAUUUUACUUUCUGCUGCGCCAGAGUGCUCACAAGAAGGGAAAAAUUGCCACUAUGAGCCGUAGUAGGCAUCUUUCUCUCUUCGUCUUUGUAGCACCCAAGAGCGUGGACACACACAUAAAGGGAGGGACGAAUACAUGUCUUUUUCUCCUCUAACAGCAAUGUCUAUCCUGGCCGCAGGUUGAUACAAGCCAGGAUCUACUUUUCCAAGCUGAAACCAUGAGGAUUACUCACAUCUUUAAAAAUAAGCCCCCAUUGGAUUAAGACCUAAACCCUGCAAUUGUCACUUUUCCCACCAGAGGAAAGUACCAGUGGCUUAACUAAAUACAUGUCCCCAGUGCCCCAGGAAGCUCCCAGGUUUGUUUCUCUUUCCCCUUUUACUGGAACUCCUCCAUGUUUCUGCAGGUUGGUUUUAUUUUUUUUUCACCACUUCAUCAUCCAUCCCUUCCUCCUGAGCUCAAUGUGAUCUUUAGUCUUGUCCUUGCCGUUUCUUCCCCAUCCUUCUCUGUCCAUUUGCCACAAGCAGACCACCUCCCGUUCCCUCAAAUCUGGGAGAAACGACCUAACAUGACAAAAUAAUAUGUGUUUCUGUUAUCAGUGGAAAAAAUAAAGCCAGAUUCAUCCUGCA